This 305-nucleotide ribosomal RNA is filed under the name uncultured bacterium. Its description in RNAcentral is "partial 16S ribosomal RNA". It matches the Rfam family "Bacterial small subunit ribosomal RNA", at positions 337 to 659 of the family's 1533-position model. The record is from RNAcentral.
UCCUACGGGGGGCAGCAGUGGGGGAUAUUGCACAAGGGGGGGAACCCUGAUGCAGCGACGCCGCGUGGGUGAAGAAGCGCCUCGGCGCGUAAAGCCCUGUCAGCAGGGAAGAAAAUGACGGUACCUGAAGAAGAAGCCCCGGCUAACUACGUGCCAGCAGCCGCGGUAAUACGUAGGGGGCAAGCGUUAUCCGGAUUUACUGGGUGUAAAGGGGGCGCAGACGGCGAUGCAAGCCAGGAGUGAAAGCCCGGGGCCCAACCCCGGGACUGCUCUUGGAACUGCGUGGCUGGAGUGCAGGAGGGGCG